GUAGGGAACUCUUUACGAACGAGCGGCUACGAGCGGGUAGGACUGACUAGUACGAGAGGAACGUUGGUCCGGGAUUGAAAGCGUUGGUGCUUGGUGGUUUAUUGCCAUUGGGGCUUUGCCUUUGUCCUGGGGCUUACGGCUGAACGCCUCUAAGCCGGAAUCCCGUCCCACGACGUCCGCGUCUGCUUUUCCGAGACGGGCGACAGAACGAUUAGGCCCCUCUUCGCUCUUCCCGAGUGACUGGGGUGGUGUGUGUCCGACCUGUAUAUUUCGGCAGGUGUCUUUCGAAAGCAGGAAAAUCUGCUUGCAGACGACUUGGGUUUGUACGAGUCGGGGUGUCGUACUCGGUAGAGCGGCCUGUUGUGGCUGCGAUGCGUUGAGACUUGUCCCUCGACUAGGAGAUUUGUCCGCAACUAGACGGACGGAGCUCUCAUUCUCUUCGACAGUUUUUUUUUUAUUUAUGUUUCGUUCUUUUUUUAAAUUGUGUGCUAAGCGAGUUUGAAACAUACCUACUUUUCAUAUUGUCUGCGUCCGAUGCGCUUAUAUGAC
RNAcentral lists this unclassified non-coding RNA (549 nucleotides) under Lottia digitalis (California fingered limpet). Its description in RNAcentral is "external transcribed spacer 2". The stretch from base 1 to 407 matches the Rfam family "Eukaryotic large subunit ribosomal RNA", at positions 2372 to 3401 of the family's 3401-position model. Lineage: Eukaryota; Metazoa; Mollusca; Gastropoda; Lottiidae. The record is from RNAcentral.